Etheostoma cragini (Arkansas darter) is the source of this 82-nucleotide non-coding RNA. The record is from the annotation of a RefSeq genome assembly. NCBI's taxonomy places the organism in Eukaryota, Metazoa, Chordata, Actinopteri, Perciformes, Percidae.
GUUGUCAUGGCCGAGUGGUUAAGGCAAUGGACUAGAAAUCCAUUGGAGUGUCCUCGUGCAGGUUCAAAUCCUGGUGACAAUG